GGAUACUCCGGGAAACCGGGGCUAAUACCGGAUAACAUUUUGAACCGCAUGGUUCGAAAUUGAAAGGCGGCUUCGGCUGUCACUUAUGGAUGGACCCGCGUCGCAUUAGCUAGUUGGUGAGGUAACGGCUCACCAAGGCAACGAUGCGUAGCCGACCUGAGAGGGUGAUCGGCCACACUGGGACUGAGACACGGCCCAGACUCCUACGGGAGGCAGCAGUAGGGAAUCUUCCGCAAUGGACGAAAGUCUGACGGAGCAACGCCGCGUGAGUGAUGAAGGCUUUCGGGUCGUAAAACUCUGUUGUUAGGGAAGAACAAGUGCUAGUUGAAUAAGCUGGCACCUUGACGGUACCUAACCAGAAAGCCACGGCUAACUACGUGCCAGCAGCCGCGGGUAAUAC
This 400-nucleotide ribosomal RNA is filed under the name Bacillus cereus. RNAcentral's name for it is "bacterial SSU rRNA". It matches the Rfam family "Bacterial small subunit ribosomal RNA", at positions 141 to 526 of the family's 1533-position model. The record is from RNAcentral. Lineage: Bacteria; Bacillati; Bacillota; Bacilli; Caryophanales; Bacillaceae.